Molecule: ribosomal RNA, 162 nt
Filed under: ascomycete sp. MA 4690
Lineage: Eukaryota; Fungi; Ascomycota
Also listed under: 1 other name
Description: 5.8S ribosomal RNA
Rfam family: 5.8S ribosomal RNA
About the family: 5.8S ribosomal RNA (5.8S rRNA) is a component of the large subunit of the eukaryotic ribosome. It is transcribed by RNA polymerase I as part of the 45S precursor that also contains 18S and 28S rRNA.
Source: RNAcentral
AAACUUUCAACAACGGAUCUCUUGGUUCUGGCAUCGAUGAAGAACGCAGCGAAAUGCGAUAAGUAAUGUGAAUUGCAGAAUUCAGUGAAUCAUCGAAUCUUUGAACGCACAUUGCGCCCUCUGGUAUUCCGGAGGGCAUGCCUGUUCGAGCGUCAUUACACC